AAAUAAAUAGUUUCAAAUUUCUCAAAAAAUAUUUUAUUCUGAGGCAAAUUAUCACGAGCGCUACUAAUUAAUCCAAAAUGAAGUCAAUUCCAUUGAUGUGCAUCGUCUUUGUGAUGAUGUUGACAUCAUUCCCGGCUACGAUCAAUAGUGAUUGCCUUAAAACUAUUAAGUCGUGUGUGCGCGAAGUGCAAGACAAAGUUCCGAUAAAUAACCAGUGGAAGGCAAAAUGUUGUGCAGUUUGGAACGGGACAAUAACACCAGAAUUAUUAGCUUGUGUCUGUCGUGUAAGGAAAAAUCCUAUCGACAAUACGUUUUUUAACCGAGUUUUAAGAACUUGUCAAUUAGGAAAUGCACGAUUCAAGUGUUAACGAUGUUAACAUAAAAUUGUCAAAUCACCCUGUUCUAAAAAUCGACCGCCUAGCCGCAUAGGCGCUACGCGUCACUCUUCAGCCCCAAUUAAUGCCAAAUCGGUUAAAAAAAUCGGAUAUCAGAUUUUCUCCGCCUAGACCGCCUAAAUGACCGUCUAGCAGCUUAGGCGGCCGCCUAACCGCCUAAUCUAUUUUUUUAUUAUUUUUAAUAAUAUUUUUAUUUAUUUAUUUGAUCUAAAAUUUCAUAAAUAUCAUUUAUAUUCAUAAUUUUGAUGAAAAUUACACUAUAUUAAGUUUAUAUAUUCUAUUUAAUCCCCGAUUUUCUCUUUAGGCGCUAGGUCCAACCCGACUGCCCGACUAGCGCCUAGUGCGUUCCCGAACAGGGCAUUUAGUUAAGUUAUUGUUCAAUAAGGAGAGAGAAUUGGUAUUGUUUACGUUCAUGCUCGUGUGAAUUACGAUUCCAUGUUCUUUUAUUGUUUCUAUGUAUUUUCUUAUAUUUUGAAGUAAAUUUAAAACCAAAAAAGUUAUUUUCUACUCUAAAACAAUCGAGAUUUGUAAUAAGAAUUUUCAGUCUAUCUACUUAGGCACUUCUUCUUCGUAUCCCUG
This 974-nucleotide long non-coding RNA is filed under the name Brassica napus (rape). Its description in RNAcentral is "long non-coding RNA (BNAP_LNC018395)". Lineage: Eukaryota; Viridiplantae; Streptophyta; Magnoliopsida; Brassicales; Brassicaceae. The record is from RNAcentral.